AGAUCUCUUCCGUAUCCUACUAUUUAAUGCAUUCUCUUUUCUCAUUCCACGAAGAGAACUCGUUUACUAGUUGGAUCACUGCGCGCUGAGGGAGUAUCAGGGUUAAUUAACUAUUAUUUCUACGUCACACCGCCCAGAUUUUUGCAAAAGAGUGGUCAGAUUGGGGCAAUAAUCAUAGUUGAAUAUAAUUUUCAGUGUUUUCGAGUAUCUCAAUGCUGGUUUUUUCUUCCAUUCUGAAACUUAUGGGGUUGUACAACUUGCCGUUGGCGAUAUUGUUACUCUUGUUACUCAUACUCCCGAUAUCAUGUGCUCAGGCUUCCUUUGCUGAGGGAGUGCCACAAAGGUUGACCUUCGACGAGAUCAACGCCCAGACCUACUUGGACGUGAAGGGCUCAGGAACAGCCAACCAGUGCCCCAUUGUUGCCGAGGGUUCCGACAAGUUCAACUUAAAGGAUGGCAACUACCAGAUGAAGAAGCUGUGUCUCGAGCCCACCUCCUUCACUGUCAAGGCUGAGUCCCAGUUCAAGCAAGGUGGCGAGGACUACCAGCCUACCAAGCUGAUGACCCGCUUGACUUACACCUUGGACGAGAUUGAGGGUCCAUUGACCAUCAGCAACGGCAAUCUGAAGUUUGAGGAGAAGGAUGGCAUCGACUACGCUGCCGUGACUGUGCAAC
RNAcentral lists this long non-coding RNA (675 nucleotides) under Physcomitrium patens. RNAcentral's name for it is "long non-coding RNA (PPAT_LNC008335)". The record is from RNAcentral. Lineage: Eukaryota; Viridiplantae; Streptophyta; Bryopsida; Funariales; Funariaceae.